This 382-nucleotide ribosomal RNA is filed under the name uncultured bacterium. RNAcentral describes it as "bacterial SSU rRNA". It matches the Rfam family "Bacterial small subunit ribosomal RNA", at positions 28 to 398 of the family's 1533-position model. The record is from RNAcentral.
GAUGAACGCUAGCGGCAGGCUUAACACAUGCAAGUCGAGGGGCAGCGUGAGGGUUAGCAAUAACCCUUGACGGCGACCGGCGCAAGGGUGCGUAACGCGUGAGCAACUUGCCCUUAUCAGGGGGAUAACCGGUGGAAACGCCGACUAAUACCCCAUGGCAUUGGUUGGAGGCAUCUCCUUCCAAUUAAAGAGUUUCGGAUAAGGAUAGGCUCGCGUGACAUUAGCUAGACGGCGGGGUAACGGCCCACCGUGGCAACGAUGUCUAGGGGUUCUGAGAGGAAGGUCCCCCACACUGGAACUGAGACACGGUCCAGACCUCCGUACGGGAGGCAGCAGUGAGGAAUAGUUGGUCAAGUGGGCGCGAGCCUGAACCAGCCAAGUA